GAGUUUGAUCGUGGCUCAGAUUGAACGCUGGCGGCAGGCCUUACACAUGCAAGUCGAACGGCAGCACGGGAGCUUGCUCCUGGUGGCGAGUGGCGAACGGGUGAGUAAUGCAUCGGAACGUAUCCUGGAGUGGGGGAUAACGUAGCGAAAGUUACGCUAAUACCGCAUAUUCUGUGAGCAGGAAAGCGGGGGACCUUCGGGCCUCGCGCUCUUGGAGCGGCCGAUGUCGGAUUAGCUAGUUGGUGAGGUAAAGGCUCACCAAGGCGACGAUCCGUAGCAGGUCUGAGAGGAUGAUCUGCCACACUGGAACUGAGACACGGUCCAGACUCCUACGGGAGGCAGCAGUGGGAAUUUUGGACAAUGGGGGCAACCCUGAUCCAGCCAUGCCGCGUGAGUGAAGAAGGCCUCGGUUGUAAGUACGUCUUCGUCGUAGG
This 434-nucleotide ribosomal RNA is filed under the name bacterium enrichment culture clone ALO1_GLFRUDD03F9W2M. RNAcentral describes it as "bacterial SSU rRNA". It matches the Rfam family "Bacterial small subunit ribosomal RNA", at positions 9 to 444 of the family's 1533-position model. The record is from RNAcentral.